Molecule: ribosomal RNA, 254 nt
Filed under: uncultured bacterium
Lineage: Bacteria
Description: partial 16S ribosomal RNA
Rfam family: Bacterial small subunit ribosomal RNA
Source: RNAcentral
UACGUAGGUGGCAAGCGUUGUCCGGAUUUAUUGGGUUUAAAGGGUGCGUAGGCGGCCUUGUAAGUCAGUGGUGAAAUACUCCAGCUUAACUGGAGGGGUGCCAAUGAUACUGCAGGGCUUGAGUACAGAUGAGGUAGGCGGAAUUGACGGUGUAGCGGUGAAAUGCAUAGAUAUCGUCAAGAACACCGAUAGCGAAGGCAGCUUACUGGGCUGUAACUGACGCUGAGGCACGAAAGUGUGGGGAUCAAAACAGG